UGGGGAAUAUUGCACAAUGGAGGGAACUCUGAUGCAGCGACGCCGCGUGAACGAAGUAGGCUUUCGAGUCGUAAAGUUCUUUUAUAUGGGAAGAUAAUGACGGUACCAUAAGAAAAAGCCCCGGCUAACUACGUGCCAUCAGCCGCGGUAAUACGUAGGGGGCUAGCUUUGUCCGGAAUCACUGGGGGUAAAGGGUUCGCAGGCGGAAAUGCAAGUCAGAUGUAAAAGGCAGUAGCUUAACUACUGUAAGCAUUUGAAACUGCAUAUGUGGAGAAGAGUAGAGGUAAGUGGAAUUUUUGGGGUAGCGGUGAAAUGCGUAGAUAAUAAAAAGAAUACCGGUGGCGAAGGGGACUUACGGGGCUCAUUAUGAAGCUGAGGAACGAAAGAGUGGGUAGCAAACAGG
Molecule: ribosomal RNA, 403 nt
Filed under: Fusobacteriota bacterium
Lineage: Bacteria; Fusobacteriati; Fusobacteriota
Description: Fusobacteria bacterium partial 16S ribosomal RNA
Rfam family: Bacterial small subunit ribosomal RNA
Source: RNAcentral